This 1892-nucleotide long non-coding RNA is filed under the name Cinara cedri. The record is from RNAcentral. Lineage: Eukaryota; Metazoa; Arthropoda; Insecta; Hemiptera; Aphididae.
GUUGGUCGAAUUUUUUUCUCGUGUAGCCAUAGUAAUCCAAAAUUCAAUCAAUGGACGCACCCAGGAUAAUAAUAACUGUAAUCUGGUUUUUCGUGUUUUCGUAAAACUGUUGGGAAUCGAGAAAAAUAUAAUAAAGUAUAGUAUUUUUUUAUAGGUAUCACCGGGCGAAAAAUCCGCAUCCAUUUUAGAACUGCGUGAAAAAAUCUGAACAUUUCAUUUAUUAGAAAAAAUAACAGGUACCAAAUGCCAAUCACAGCUAUUUCUAUAAUUAUUAUUAUUUCAGUAGAAAAAAAAAAUCGUUUGAUUUUAUGCAUAAAAACAAUAGGUAAUUUGGUUAACGGAAUUAUUAUCCGACGCAUAGCAUAGGUACGUGUUAUGUACUAAAUGCAUUUAUAACAAUAAUUGUGAUAAUUAUAAACACCCAUAAAGUACAAGGUACGAUUAUCGAGAUAAUUAAUUAACCCACAACUCACUAUACGUAUACACCACACUAUGUAGGUAGGUACCUAAUUUUAAUUUUAAUCUUACUACCUACAGGUUAGGUUGGGUUACCUAUAUUUAUGCGUAGGUAAAAAGUUUACAACCGUACGAUAUACGGACAUAAUUAUUUUUGAACUUGACAAAUUAUACCCGUCCGUAUUAUGACGUUGGUACCUAUGUGAAAUCUAAUGUUUAUUAUUAUUAUUAUUUCGAUUGAGUUUUUAGAUUAUGAGCGGGGCGUAUUGGUUUCACUAUGGUGCGUUUCUAUUUUAUUAUUUGUUCUGUUUAUGAACAACUUUUUACCAGAAUUCGCGUUCCAAUCGUCCAAAACGUCCACUUCUGGGGCCGCGGUUUCAAAUGGUCACCAUGUGCAGUCGGUGCUCCGAGGAGGCCAUUUUUUGCAUUAAUCAGGAAAAACGAUCGAAUUUAUGCAAUACCUAGGGUACCCGGUUUCUGUUUAGUUAUUUUUUUUGUUUCAUUUAAAAAUAAUUAUAAAAAUUUAACCGAAUCCGUAUUAUGUUUCCAUAUCAGUCAUUUCUAAACACGGUCAAAUUUCCGCAUUAAUUCAACGUGCUGAUUGAUUUGAAUAUUAUUAUAGUAAAUACAGGAAUAAAAAUUAAAUAAUUGAACGAAUGCGUCGGCUGGAGUGUUACGAUAAGUGUAUAAUACGACCGGUUUCGAAUUAUAUAUUCACCAACACGUAUACCAUAGUCAAAAUGUAAAACGCGACUGAAUAUAAAAAAUUAGACGAAGGAAUAUAUAGAAAAAAAUUAUACAAAUUGAUCGGUUUUACAUGGAAAUAAUUUAUUUUAAUAAGAGAGAUUAUUCAAAAUUAGUUAUUAAUAGACAUAGAUAGGUAUGUUCGAGAAAUAUAAAUUAUUUGAUUAUUAUUUACCAUCUAAAAUGUAUUGAUAUAAGACAUUACUUUUAAAAUCGGUUUGCACAUUUGAAUUAUUAUUAAAAUUAGUUUUCUUUAUUUCAUUGUAUACGCGACAAAAUAGAUUUUGUCAUGAUUGUAUAUAUUAUGUAGUUACUCUAAAAUUAAAUUAAUGUGUAAUGUUACUUUGGGCGCCUAUUUAAUAUCUCUACGUCUGUAUUAAUAUCAAAGCUUAUUAUUAGAUAUAUUAAUGGUUAUUUUCCAAAACAUGUUUAGCGAAAUGUGUACAUUAUAUCUUAUUUUAAAAUUUUUAUUUGUCUUACCCGUGUAAAAUUUAUUACAGUUACAUUUAAGUUUAACCAGCAUUUUCAAAAGAAGGAGGAGCAUUUGUGAAUUUUUUAGUUCUAUUGUUUACAUGUUUGAUUAAAUUAUUAUUAGUCUUAAAGCGAUUUGUAUUAUUGUUUAGAAUUUCAGCGAAUUCGUUACACAUAUUAUUUGGAUAAUUCAUGUUACAAUAGUUAACUACAUUAUCUGG